GACGAACGCUGGCGGCGUGCUUAACACAUGCAAGUCGAACGGAAAGGCCUGCUUUCCCUUGUGGAUUGCGGGUACUCGAGUGGCGAACGGGUGAGUAACACGUGAGUGAUCUGCCCCCAACUUGGGUAUAAGCCUGGGAAACUGGGUCUAAUUCCCGAUAGGACUGCAGGGUGGUGCCUGUGGUGGAAAACGAUUUUCUAGUGGUUGGGGAUGAGCUCGCGGCCUAUCAGCUUGUUGGUGGGGUAAUGGCCUACCAAGGCGGCGACGGGUAGCCGGCCUGAGAGGGUGGACGGGCACAUUGGGACUGAGAUACGGCCCAGACUCCUACGGGAGGCAGCAGUGGGGAAUAUUACACAAUGGGCGGAAGCCUGAUGCAGCGACGCCGCGUGGGGGAUGACGGCCUUCGGGUUGUAAACUCCUUUCGACCGCGAGGAAGCCACCUGGUUGGAAGGGUGGUGACGGUAGUGGUAGAAGAAGCACCGGCUAACUACGUG
Molecule: ribosomal RNA, 494 nt
Filed under: uncultured bacterium
Lineage: Bacteria
Description: partial 16S ribosomal RNA
Rfam family: Bacterial small subunit ribosomal RNA
Source: RNAcentral